GCUCAUUGAGACCCAUGUUUAUGUGUCCGUUAAACUUCAGUGCCUCACUACGAGCAGUAGUACAAUCUUUGAUCAAAAGACCAUUCACACAACUUCAGCAUCGAGACAAUCACUGACGAUUGAAUAGAAAUCCAAAUGAUCUCUCGUAUGGUCAUGCUCAAUACUAGUUAUUCUCUAACAGCUACCCACACUCAUCGUCCAGUGUCUCUACACGUAGAUCAGAGACUCAUCUAUCUCGAAGGAAGUGAUCUGUGUGUCAGUCUAUCU
This 267-nucleotide long non-coding RNA is filed under the name Elaeis guineensis (African oil palm). RNAcentral describes it as "long non-coding RNA (EGUI_LNC050006)". Lineage: Eukaryota; Viridiplantae; Streptophyta; Magnoliopsida; Arecales; Arecaceae. The record is from RNAcentral.